This 433-nucleotide ribosomal RNA is filed under the name uncultured bacterium. RNAcentral's name for it is "partial 16S ribosomal RNA". It matches the Rfam family "Bacterial small subunit ribosomal RNA", at positions 29 to 507 of the family's 1533-position model. The record is from RNAcentral.
AACGAACGCUGGCGGCAUGCCUAGCACAUGCAAGUCGAACGAGACCUUCGGGUCUAGUGGCGCACGGGUGCGUAACGCGUGGGAACCUGCCCUUAGGUUCGGAAUAACUCCCCGAAAGGGGUGCUAAUACCGGAUAAUGUCUUCAGACCAAAGAUUUAUCGCCUUUGGAUGGGCCCGCGUUGGAUUAGCUAGUUGGUAGGGUAAAAGCCUACCAAGGCGACGAUCCAUAGCUGGUCUGAGAGGAUGAUCAGCCACACUGGGACUGAGACACGGCCCAGACUCCUACGGGAGGCAGCAGUGGGGAAUAUUGGACAAUGGGCGAAAGCCUGAUCCAGCAAUGCCGCGUGAGUGAUGAAGGCCUUAGGGUUGUAAAGCUCUUUUACCCGGGAUGAUAAUGACAGUACCGGGAGAAUAAGCUCCGGCUAACUCCGUG